GAAUCGCUAGUAAUCGUGGAUCAGCAUGCCGCGGUGAAUACGUUCCCGGGCCUUGACACACCGCCCGUCACACCACGAGAGUUGGUAACACCCGAAGUCGGUGAGGUAACCUUUUGGAGCCAGCCGCCGAAGGUGGGACCAAUGAUUGGGGUGAAGUCGUAACAAGGUAGCCGUAUCGGAAGGUGCGGCUGGAUCACCUCCUUU
This 204-nucleotide ribosomal RNA is filed under the name Halomonas sp. KK-L3-2. RNAcentral's name for it is "partial 16S ribosomal RNA". It matches the Rfam family "Bacterial small subunit ribosomal RNA", at positions 1329 to 1533 of the family's 1533-position model. Lineage: Bacteria; Pseudomonadati; Pseudomonadota; Gammaproteobacteria; Oceanospirillales; Halomonadaceae. The record is from RNAcentral.